CAUGCCAGUAUCACAAAAUGCUCUGCUCUCUCAGGAUUGUAGUACUCUUUAUACACUGCUAAAAUGGAGAUCUAAAAUGAGAGGCCUGUGUAAGAGGAAUUGUAGAAAACUAGAAAAUAAGUAAAUAAAGACGCAUCUCAGCUGCUCUGCUGACCUGCACAAAAGGCUGAUCCAUCAUAAAUGUUUGAGGUCUCUCUGUAAGGACUGUCGGUGCCACUCACAUCGUGGUGAUCUCGACUCAGGACAACCGGUGCCUA
Chrysemys picta bellii (western painted turtle) is the source of this 257-nucleotide non-coding RNA. NCBI's taxonomy places the organism in Eukaryota, Metazoa, Chordata, Testudines, Emydidae. The record is from RefSeq and is a predicted model, not a curated record.